ACGUACUACUCGCACGCUCCGGUUCCUGCGCUCCAUCCUCACCCGACCUGCCGUCGCUCGCUACGCCUGGACAGCA
This 76-nucleotide small RNA is filed under the name Hydrocarboniphaga effusa AP103. RNAcentral describes it as "Xanthomonas sRNA sX9". It matches the Rfam family "Xanthomonas sRNA sX9". Lineage: Bacteria; Pseudomonadati; Pseudomonadota; Gammaproteobacteria; Nevskiales; Nevskiaceae. The record is from Rfam by way of RNAcentral. RNAcentral also lists the same sequence under 1 other name.